This 254-nucleotide ribosomal RNA is filed under the name uncultured bacterium. RNAcentral describes it as "partial 16S ribosomal RNA". It matches the Rfam family "Bacterial small subunit ribosomal RNA", at positions 524 to 776 of the family's 1533-position model. The record is from RNAcentral.
UACGGGGGGAGCAAGCGUUGUUCGGAUUUACUGGGCGUAAAGGGCGCGUAGGCGGCCACCGCAAGUCGGUUGUGAAAUCUCCGGGCUUAACCCGGAAAGGUCAAUCGAUACUGCGGGGCUAGAGUGCAGAAGGGGCAACUGGAAUUCUCGGUGUAGCGGUGAAAUGCGUAGAUAUCAGGAAGAACACCGAUGGCGAAGGCAGUUCUCUGGGACGGUACUGACGCUGAGACGCGAAAGCGUGGGGAGCGAACAGG